This 383-nucleotide unclassified non-coding RNA is filed under the name uncultured bacterium. RNAcentral describes it as "contains 16S-23S intergenic spacer region". The record is from RNAcentral.
UCCUGGUUUCCCAGGCAGUCCCACUAGAGUGCCUCCCGAAGGAGUAGCAACUAAUGGCAAGAGUUGCGCUCGUUAAAGGACUUAACCCAACAUCUCACGACACGAGCUGACGACAGCCAUGCAGCACCUGUUUACCCGUCCAUGCUUUCGCAUGAAAAACCAUGUUUCCAUGGCGGUCAGGUAUAUGUCAAGCCUAGGUAAGGUUCCUCGCGUAGUGUCGAAUUAAACCACAUGUUCCACCGCUUGUGCGGACCCCCGUCAAUUCCUUUGAGUUUUAAUCUUGCGACCGUACUCCCCAGGCGGAUCACUUAUCGCGUUAGCUACGACACUAACCGUGCAAGCACAGUUAACGUCCAGUGAUCAUCGUUUACAGCGUGGACUAC